RNAcentral lists this ribosomal RNA (408 nucleotides) under bacterium enrichment culture clone ALO1_GLFRUDD03FRU7P. RNAcentral describes it as "bacterial SSU rRNA". It matches the Rfam family "Bacterial small subunit ribosomal RNA", at positions 9 to 417 of the family's 1533-position model. The record is from RNAcentral.
GAGUUUGAUCUUGGCUCAGAUUGAACGCUGGCGGCAUGCCUUACACAUGCAAGUCGAACGGCAGCACGGGAGCUUGCUCCUGGUGGCGAGUGGCGAACGGGUGAGUAAUGCAUCGGAACGUAUCCUGGAGUGGGGGGAUAACGUAGCGAAAGUUACGCUAAUACCGCAUAUUCUGUGAGCAGGAAAGCGGGGGACCUUCGGGCCUCGCGCUCUUGGAGCGGCCGAUGUCGGAUUAGCUAGUUGGUGAGGUAAAGGCUCACCAAGGCGACGAUCCGUAGCAGGUCUGAGAGGAUGAUCUGCCACACUGGAACUGAGACACGGUCCAGACUCCUACGGGAGGCAGCAGUGGGAAUUUUGGACAAUGGGGGCAACCCUGAUCCAGCCAUGCCGCGUGAGUGAAGAAGGCCU